This 1138-nucleotide ribosomal RNA is filed under the name Salmonella enterica. RNAcentral's name for it is "partial 23S ribosomal RNA". It matches the Rfam family "Bacterial large subunit ribosomal RNA", at positions 1 to 1171 of the family's 2925-position model. The record is from RNAcentral. Lineage: Bacteria; Pseudomonadati; Pseudomonadota; Gammaproteobacteria; Enterobacterales; Enterobacteriaceae.
GGGUUGUGAGGUUAAGCGACUAAGCGUACACGGUGGAUGCCCUGGCAGUCAGAGGCGAUGAAGGGCGUGCUAAUCUGCGAUAAGCGCCGGUAAGGUGAUAUGAACCGUUAUAACCGGCGAUACCCGAAUGGGGAAACCCAGUGUGAUUCGUCACACUAUCAUUAACUGAAUCCAUAGGUUAAUGAGGCGAACCGGGGGAACUGAAACAUCUAAGUACCCCGAGGAAAAGAAAUCAACCGAGAUUCCCCCAGUAGCGGCGAGCGAACGGGGAGGAGCCCAGAGCCUGAAUCAGCAUGUGUGUUAGUGGAAGCGUCUGGAAAGGCGCGCGAUACAGGGUGACAGCCCCGUACACAAAAGCGCAUGUGCUGUGAGCUCGAUGAGUAGGGCGGGACACGUGGUAUCCUGUCUGAAUAUGGGGGGACCAUCCUCCAAGGCUAAAUACUCCUGACUGACCGAUAGUGAACCAGUACCGUGAGGGAAAGGCGAAAAGAACCCCGGCGAGGGGAGUGAAAAAGAACCUGAAACCGUGUACGUACAAGCAGUGGGAGCACCCUUUGGGUGUGACUGCGUACCUUUUGUAUAAUGGGUCAGCGACUUAUAUUCUGUAGCAAGGUUAACCGAAUAGGGGAGCCGGAGGGAAACCGAGUCUUAACCGGGCGUUAAGUUGCAGGGUAUAGACCCGAAACCCGGUGAUCUAGCCAUGGGCAGGUUGAAGGUUGGGUAACACUAACUGGAGGACCGAACCGACUAAUGUUGAAAAAUUAGCGGAUGACCUGUGGCUGGGGGUGAAAGGCCAAUCAAACCGGGAGAUAGCUGGUUCUCCCCGAAAGCUAUUUAGGUAGCGCCUCGUGAAUUCAUCUCCGGGGGUAGAGCACUGUUUCGGCUAGGGGGCCAUCCCGGCUUACCAACCCGAUGCAAACUGCGAAUACCGGAGAAUGUUAUCACGGGAGACACACGGCGGGUGCUAACGUCCGUCGUGAAGAGGGAAACAACCCAGACCGCCAGCUAAGGUCCCAAAGUCAUGGUUAAGUGGGAAACGAUGUGGGAAGGCCCAGACAGCCAGGAUGUUGGCUUAGAAGCAGCCAUCAUUUAAAGAAAGCGUAAUAGCUCACUGGUCGAGUCGGCCUGCGCGGAAGAU